CAGGCAGCGAAUGAGGCUGGAACUCUUGUACAGCAGACCCUGAGAAAUAAAUGGAUACUAGAGCUUUGACGGUGUAGGACAACACAAUCCAAGAGAAAAGAUGAGGACAUUCAUAGCCUUUGUACCACAUGAGACAGAUGGGAUGAAGGAGAAAGAGAAUAAAUAAAGAACCUGUCAUUUUCAGAGGGUUUGAAGACAUGAUAUAUAAGAAGAGCAUUAGGAGGACAUGUAGAAGGAGCAAUGAAAAGGAGAACAGAGGAAAAAGAUAGAGAGAAAAAUUCUGUUUUUACAGAGGAUUGUGGACACAAGACACGUCUGGACACCACAGGAGAUCACACUGUGCUUAGAGGAUACAACCGUUGACACACCGUGAGACUCAGUGGACACUGCAAUAUAUAAAAUCACAGCAAGAAGGAACAUCAGACUGAGAAGGACGAAUCAAGUUCCUCUGCUAUGGUAAAUACCAAAUAAUUCUUCUGAAUGUCUCAACAAAACUGUGCCACAGACACAGAGUCUGUCUUGCUGUCUAUGCUGGAGAGGCUGAAGAUCAACUCCUCAGAAGUUAAGCGAUGCCAGCAAACACCUUCAGAGAGCCAGAAUGAUGGGGUAUCUGGCCUUGUUGUGACACUGGGUCAAAAUAACAGAGUGGAGCAAUGUGUAUCUAGCACUGAUGGUGCUACAGAACAUGAGGAUCACACCAAGCAAUGGGUUUGUAGCGUUGGUUCAGAUAGGCAUUCUGAUGUUGAUAAUCAGGUUUCAGCAUGGGGUCCUACAGGUUCCACUUCAAAUGGUUUCAGAGCUUCUACACCUGUUAAUGGUGGCCUAGGCUCUCCUAACACUGAUUCCAGAUGGAGAAGGAAGCAGCUGCUACCAACUACAGGUGCUGUGGACACACUCUCUGUCUCUCCCAGACAGGAACCUGAAAAAAACCUGACUUUGGCAUGCAAGAAUGUACCCACUCUGGACACAGCAGGUAAAUACCCAAACAAUGACAUGAAAUCUUUCUGCACCGAGCUUGGAGGCCACCGGGACAUUAUGGACCCCAUGCCUAUUGUCCCGGCAGACAUUGGUGAAGUGAAACCACACAGCGAGUUAAAUUUUGCUGCAUUUUGUGACACUGCCAAGGGGGAGAACGGCAGCUUGGUUCCACAUUUGAAACUUUACCACUGGAGAGCUGCAGGAACUCCUACCAGGACAGAGCACAUGGGACAAAUGGGACGAGAUGAUCUAAUUCCUACACGAGGCUUGACACAUGGACUUGGCUUCCAGGAGAUUAAUAUUUUAAAACAUCAUAAUGUCAACAGCUCCACCCUAGCCAAAAUUCCAGAGGGUAACAUUUCUACCGCUGAAGUUUCCUUCAUGGUGCCAGGUGAAAUGUCAAUCUCUUCACAGCACCCAGAUAGAAGAGAAUGCCUUACAUAUGAUGCCUCACCUUUCAAAUUUCUGAGUAAUUACACAGCUUCACAUGGCAACUUAUUACAAAACAAUGUGGCCUCUUCUUCUGGACCAUGCAACGAUCUCAGUCAAGGCUGGUUAGGUGGGAAUGUUAGCUUUGGAAGCACGACUGAAAUUCCGGAGCAAGCAGCUGGGAUGAACAAGCACGUUUCACUCCUUAGAGAAGCAGAGAAUACGCCACCAAGAGCUGCCAAGAAGAAGAGGAAUUGGAUCGACAAGAAAACAAAGCACUGGAGCCAGAGAAUAAGAGAGAGGUGGCGAUCAAAACAAGACAGUAUGAAGAAAGGAGAAAGGGGUGGUGUUGGAGCCAUGGGCUAUGGUGUGAGAGAGACACAGGAAGGCAAAGAAGCAGUGGAGAAGACAAAAGCACAGGAUGCAGACCAACAGCAAGUUACAGAGGUCCUGGUAAAAAACACUCCUGGUGAGGAAGAGGAUACAUCUUGCCAGUCACAGUUGGGGAGGUACCCUGGGAGACAUGUGAGGACGUUCAGUGACUUUCAAUUCAACUUAAGCCCCAUAAACUUGGUGGAGGAAAUUCUCACUGGAGAGGAGUGGUCACACUUCUUGUCGCAGAAAGAAGGUCCCAUGCCCACUGGGACUUCACAGUUAUCAAAAAUAGACAGGGGGAUCUGGGUUCAGAAAGAGUGGACCAAUGGUGGACGACAGGAGGCAGGAUGCCAAAGCAUCCCAUCGGAGGCAAGAGUUCACAUGGAAGAGGAAAACAGCAGCGAUGCUGGGGAGAGUGGCUGUCAAAGUUAUGUAUUCUGUGAUCCAAAGACCCGUGGGUUCAGAAGCGCAAUGCCUCUUGUGAUGGACACAGUGCCAACAGUGGAACCAGAAAAAGAAGUGGACUUCUCUUUCUUAAAGCCGGUAGAUGUUCUGGACAACUCUGGUCUUUUGAGCCGGAUCCGUGUGAGUCGCAAGAGGGAGCGCCGCAUGCCAGCACGAAGCAUCUGGGACCAGAGGAAGCGGGAGCUGGAAGAGCUUCUGGAAGGAAAGGAGAGAUCCUGGAGGUUUCGAGACCCUGCAGGUCCAGGAAGUGAGCAGCUUCUUCCUGAAGCACAGACGAGUGAUGAAAAAAGGGAGGCAGAUGUUGAAAUAAUACCGCUGUAUCCCCUGCGGGACCCUCAUCGAUCACUAUCCUGUCUUCUGCCUUCCUCCCGGCACCCGUUUGACUCUCCAAAUGCAGAUUCUUUUGAAACGGUCAUCAAAAAGAGGAAGAUAAGGGACCUCCCUCAGGACACCCGCCAUGUCUGGUUUGCAGAGGAGUUGGUCACUGCCAUACCAUGUGGCCCAUCCUAUGACUUUGACAUUGAAGAUGAGAUGGGCUCAGAGUCAUCCCUCCCCCAAUGGAUCUUGGCUCUGAAGAAGAAGAGGGGAGAGAGGAAGCCAAGGCACUGAAUCCUUUCCCGGUGGAGUGGAAGAGCAGCAAUGGGAACUCCUUCCAAAAAGCCAGUACAUGGAAAGGCUUUCAGACAGAAAUACUUCAGAAAUACUGUGUUCUUACACUAUUGCUCAUGUUGACCCUGUAGUUUCCAUGAAUACUGAGUGGUCAGUGUAGAAACAGAAAUACACAUCUUUACUCCUUAGUCAUGGCCAGUGUUACUCUUCCUGUUUAAGUGUUGAAGGGCUUGAGAUUUAAUGAUAAUAGUGAAAAAGGUACAAAGGAUCACAGCAUACCGACACUUGGUUUGUCUGUGGAAAUAUAUUUAAGUAAUAAAGACUGAAGGUUUUUGUGCA
RNAcentral lists this long non-coding RNA (3195 nucleotides) under Scleropages formosus (Asian bonytongue). RNAcentral describes it as "lncRNA (ENSSFOG00015026380.1)". The record is from RNAcentral. Lineage: Eukaryota; Metazoa; Chordata; Actinopteri; Osteoglossiformes; Osteoglossidae.